CCUACGGGAGGCAGCAGUGGGGAAAUUUGGACAAUGGGCGCAAGCCUGAUCAAGCCAUGCCGCGUGUCUGAAGAAGGCCUUCGGGUUGUAAAGGACUUUUGUCAGGGAAGAAAAGGCUGUUGCUAAUAUCGACAGCUGAUGACGGUACCUGAAGCAUAAGCACCGGCUAACUACGUGCCAGCAGCCGCGGUAAUACGUAGGGUGCGGGCGUUAAUCGGAAUUACUGGGCGUAAAGCGAGCGCAGACGGUUACUUAAGCAGGAUGUGAAAUCCCCGGGCUCAACCUGGGAACUGCGUUCUGAACUGGGUGACUAGAGUGUGUCAGAGGGAGGUAGAAUUCCACGUGUAGCAGUGAAAUGCGUAGAGAUGUGGAGGAAUACCGAUGGCGAAGGCAGCCUCCUGGGAUAACACUGACGUUCAUGCUCGAAAGCGUGGGUAGCAAACAGGAUUAGAUACCCUUGUAGUC
RNAcentral lists this ribosomal RNA (465 nucleotides) under uncultured Neisseria sp. RNAcentral's name for it is "bacterial SSU rRNA". It matches the Rfam family "Bacterial small subunit ribosomal RNA", at positions 338 to 795 of the family's 1533-position model. Lineage: Bacteria; Pseudomonadati; Pseudomonadota; Betaproteobacteria; Neisseriales; Neisseriaceae. The record is from RNAcentral.